GAGGCACUUUGACAUCCAGAGCGCCGUGCUGCUCUCUGCAUCCUGACACCUCUUUCCUGCCGCUGCUGUGGACCAGCAGCCCAUCUCCCAGAGUACUAGCGGUUAUCGCCAUCAGGGCCCUGGGUUCACCAGCAGGUUCCAGUUGUCCUGACCAGCCUGUAACCCUCAUGUCUACCCAAGACAUGUUGGUUAUUCAUCAGCAAUCACCCCGUUCUUGAGGACGGUGCAGGAGGACGUGGUUGCAGAGGAGGAGAGCUACAGGCUGACUGGAGCCUGCUGGCACACGCGGACCUCAACGAUGGGAUGGAGCCUUUGGAGUUAAUCCAGAUCAUGUAGAAUGCUGAGCAAAGGUGUCCUGUUGACUUCAAUGGAAUUUGAGGCAGGUUUAAAGGCAGUAAACGGCUGUGCUGGUUCGUUUAGCCCUUUUAAAGAACACAUGAUCACUCUCGCUACUCAUCUCUUUGUUAGCUUUCACGGCCAGCAUUUUUGUGGGAGGAGGCCUUGUUUUUGUCUUUUCUGCAAACAGGAGAGCAAUCUAAAUGCAAAUUCUAUACCUGAAUAAAAUCCAAGAAGCAGGUACAAAUGAGGCUUGAGGGGAAAAAUCAGUGGUGAUGACACUUGGGACGGAAAAUGGAUGGCUAGAGACUGACUUCACUAUCUCCUCGCUUGCUGCUCUGUAUAGUUGGCUGGAUAUUGAAAAAUGAGAAGGAUAUGUGCUUCUUAAGGUUUAACUGCAUAUGUUUGCUCAGCUUGUCUGGAGUUCAGAUACUUCUCUGCUAUUGAAGAAAAUGCAGCUUCAAGAUGUACAAAUCGGUCCCGGAUGAUGCUCAAACUGCUAUUAGUUGUUUUUGGAGCAUUGUUUCUCGUGCAGUGACGUCAAGUAUCAAAUCCUUGUUUGUGAACUAGAUUCUGUUUCUUUUAACUUGCAAUUUUUAUUGCUUGUCAGAAUGCUCUUUCAUGCAGUUGUAAGAGUAAGAAGUCAAUUCAUAGUAUGAUCUUAAAUUCAGUUUCAGCUCUUUCACAAGCUGGCUUUAUCCUUUAAUACUUUACUUUGAAGGCCUUUAGGCCUUAGAAUGUAUCAUAAUUGAUAUAAAUUGUAUUUAGACUACAUUAAUUCAAUUUCCUAUGGUGGUGAAAACUUCAGAUGUACUCCUUUGUGAUUUCAGUGAAACCCUCUUACUGUUUUUAUUGCCCAGAUGACAGGAUAUUUAGUAAACCAUGUACUGAUUUUUUUUGCAAAUAGUUUAUUGAGAUUUUCUGGAAUUUUGGAUGCCAGUGAUUUGAAGUCUUAGUUCAUUAUUGUCAUCUCCUAAUUACAAGUGCACAGUUCACAUACUAAAUUUACCAAGGCUAAGCCUCAGAAUUAAUUUCCUGGGAAAAUUUCUGUAAAGCACUAUAAAACUUCAACUUUAUAAUUGUUCUGCUGCUGUUCAGCAUUGCACAUUCAUGUUCAUGUAUUUUUAAUAUGUUUGCUAAUGUCUUUCUUAUAUGGUGUCUGAACAGCUACUAGCUGCUGCUUAUUUUGAUUGUGUAUAAAUUUAAUGAAGUAAUUGUGAUCUCGAGCUUCUAUCUCCCUUUGGCUCUCUUCGUAAAUGUUUUUUCAAGCAGAGAAGUGACCAGCAGGAAUUCAGUGAGCUGGCUCUCAUUUGAUAAUUAUAUUCCAUGGGUUUUUUUGCUCUUCAUUGUUCAUACUUAGGUGGCUGAAAUUUAAAUUGCCCUUCUUUUAGCUGUCUUUAAAACUGUACACAUAAUGUGUUUUAUGGUCUGAACAUGGUUUGGACAACUUCAGCUUCAUCUCACCAGUACAGCUAUUUAUUCAGAAUGACAGAGGCCAUUCUCCAGAGAUUUUUGUCCCUCUACAUUACAGGACAUUCUUCCUUAAACCACAGCCAGAGAACAAAAUAACAAAAAGACUUUAUUUUUCUGAUCUUGCGCUAUUUAUGAAGCUGCCAUCUAUCCAUCAAAGUCAUUAACCUUGUUAUUGACUGCCUGAAGAAAAUUAUGUUAUGAAACCCCAAUCUUUACAUCCAGAAUGGAAUUAGUUACUUUAGGAUUCAUCUUAGAUCAAGUGUGAUUGUUGUGGCUAGGUGGUGGUGGUCAGUUUAUUGAUAGAUAAGCCAAACCAUUUUCAAGGCAUCAGUGUUGAUCCUGAGAUUCCACUAUAAUAUGAGGAAUGCAACAUGUCUCGUUGGAGAGAUAAAUGUUACAGAAAAUAGAAAUUUGGUGUGAUUGAUUGUUAAUUCAUAAAUUAUUUCUAAGUGAGAUACUCACUCGUCAUUAACCCGUGGAGCAUUGCAUCGUGUCUUUUGAAAGACUUAGAGUACCCUUUACAAACUUUCCAGGAUUGGAAAUGAUCCUGCAUUAAAACUUUCACUUAUACUAUAAAUUUUUUUACCAGAUUUAAAGUUCUAGAGAUACCGUAAAUUGUAAAUACUGCUGUGUAUGUUGUUGCAUAUUUGUAUUUCAGCUAGAAUUACCUAUUUCAUUCAUGUGUUAAAGAAUAAAAUUCAACUUUUUUGAGUCUACUUUAGGUGAGUUUUAGACUUGCAACUCAAAGAGGUAAAUCAUGUUAACUUUAUCUGCUAGAUCAUUACAUGGAAAUGUUUAAACCCCUCCCCCAAAUAAAACCCACCCUCUAUAAAGACAGAUUUGGAUAUUUUUGUUUAAAUGGAUUCCCCUCCUGUCACGGUGUUAUUACUGUGAUUUAAAAGUACACUGGAAUGUAUAUAAUAAACAUUAUGAUGUGUGUGGGUGUAACUUCAUAUACUUCGUUAGCUUAAUGAACUUGCCAUCACUGAUGAGCCCUCCGUAAGAGGUAACUCAAGAUUUUUGUGCAUUAAAGAACUUGUUGACUGCACAC
Long non-coding RNA from Grus americana (Whooping crane), 2860 nucleotides. RefSeq lists it as uncharacterized. Lineage: Eukaryota; Metazoa; Chordata; Aves; Gruiformes; Gruidae. The record is from RefSeq and is a predicted model, not a curated record. The transcript is spliced from 5 exons.